Molecule: ribosomal RNA, 860 nt
Filed under: uncultured bacterium
Lineage: Bacteria
Description: SSU rRNA
Rfam family: Bacterial small subunit ribosomal RNA
Source: RNAcentral
UACGGAGGGUGCUAACGCUGCCCGGAAUUACUGGCCGUAAUGCGUGCGCAUGCGGUUUCCUAGGACUCAUGUGAAAUCCCCGGGCUCAACCUGGGAACUGCUUUUGUGACUGCCACGCUAGAGUGCAUUCGAGGGGGGUAGAAUUCCACGUGGAGCAGUGAGAUGCGUACAGAUGUGGAGGAAUACCGAUGGUUAAGGCCGCCCCCUGCUCUAUCACUGACGCUCAUGCACGAAAGCGUGGGGAGCAAACAGGAUUAGAUACCCCGGUAGUCCACGCCCUAAACGAUGUCAACUAGGUGUUGGGGAAGGAGACUUCUCUAGUACCGCAGCUAACCCGUGAACUUGACCGCCUGGGGAGUACGGUCGCAAGAUUAAAACUCAAAGGAAUCGACGGGGACCCGCCCAAGCGGUGGAUGUAUGUGGAUUAAUUCGAUGCAACGCGAAACACCUUACCUCCCCUUGACAUGUCAGGAAGAUCGCAGAGAUGUGAUUGUGCCCGAAAGGGAACCUGCACACAGGUGCUGCAUGGCUGUCGUCAGCUCGCGUCGUGAGAUGUUGGGGUAAGUCCCCCAACGAGCGCAACCCUUGUCAUUACUGGCCAUCAAUUAGUUGGGCACUCUAAUGAGACCGCCGGUGAUAAUCCGGAGGAAGGUGGGGAUGACGUCAAGUCCUCAUGGCCCUUAUCGGUAGGGCUUCACACGUAAUACACUGGUCGGUACAGAGGGUAGUCAUCCCGCGAGGGGGAGCCCAUUCCAGAAAGCCGAUCGUAGUCCGGAUUGUUGUCUGCAACUCGAGAGCAUGAAGUCGGAAUCGGUAGUAAUCGCGGACCAGCAUGUCGCGGAGAAUUCGUUCCCGGGUUU